RNAcentral lists this ribosomal RNA (1413 nucleotides) under Lactiplantibacillus plantarum. Its description in RNAcentral is "bacterial SSU rRNA". It matches the Rfam family "Bacterial small subunit ribosomal RNA". Lineage: Bacteria; Bacillati; Bacillota; Bacilli; Lactobacillales; Lactobacillaceae. The record is from RNAcentral.
CAGUCGAACGAACUCUGGUAUUGAUUGGUGCUUGCAUCAUGAUUUACAUUUGAGUGAGUGGCGAACUGGUGAGUAACACGUGGGAAACCUGCCCAGAAGCGGGGGAUAACACCUGGAAACAGAUGCUAAUACCGCAUAACAACUUGGACCGCAUGGUCCGAGCUUGAAAGAUGGCUUCGGCUAUCACUUUUGGAUGGUCCCGCGGCGUAUUAGCUAGAUGGUGGGGUAACGGCUCACCAUGGCAAUGAUACGUAGCCGACCUGAGAGGGUAAUCGGCCACAUUGGGACUGAGACACGGCCCAAACUCCUACGGGAGGCAGCAGUAGGGAAUCUUCCACAAUGGACGAAAGUCUGAUGGAGCAACGCCGCGUGAGUGAAGAAGGGUUUCGGCUCGUAAAACUCUGUUGUUAAAGAAGAACAUAUCUGAGAGUAACUGUUCAGGUAUUGACGGUAUUUAACCAGAAAGCCACGGCUAACUACGUGCCAGCAGCCGCGGUAAUACGUAGGUGGCAAGCGUUGUCCGGAUUUAUUGGGCGUAAAGCGAGCGCAGGCGGUUUUUUAAGUCUGAUGUGAAAGCCUUCGGCUCAACCGAAGAAGUGCAUCGGAAACUGGGAAACUUGAGUGCAGAAGAGGACAGUGGAACUCCAUGUGUAGCGGUGAAAUGCGUAGAUAUAUGGAAGAACACCAGUGGCGAAGGCGGCUGUCUGGUCUGUAACUGACGCUGAGGCUCGAAAGUAUGGGUAGCAAACAGGAUUAGAUACCCUGGUAGUCCAUACCGUAAACGAUGAAUGCUAAGUGUUGGAGGGUUUCCGCCCUUCAGUGCUGCAGCUAACGCAUUAAGCAUUCCGCCUGGGGAGUACGGCCGCAAGGCUGAAACUCAAAGGAAUUGACGGGGGCCCGCACAAGCGGUGGAGCAUGUGGUUUAAUUCGAAGCUACGCGAAGAACCUUACCAGGUCUUGACAUACUAUGCAAAUCUAAGAGAUUAGACGUUCCCUUCGGGGACAUGGAUACAGGUGGUGCAUGGUUGUCGUCAGCUCGUGUCGUGAGAUGUUGGGUUAAGUCCCGCAACGAGCGCAACCCUUAUUAUCAGUUGCCAGCAUUAAGUUGGGCACUCUGGUGAGACUGCCGGUGACAAACCGGAGGAAGGUGGGGAUGACGUCAAAUCAUCAUGCCCCUUAUGACCUGGGCUACACACGUGCUACAAUGGAUGGUACAACGAGUUGCGAACUCGCGAGAGUAAGCUAAUCUCUUAAAGCCAUUCUCAGUUCGGAUUGUAGGCUGCAACUCGCCUACAUGAAGUCGGAAUCGCUAGUAAUCGCGGAUCAGCGUGCCGCGGUGAAUACGUUCCCGGGCCUUGUACACACCGCCCGUCACACCAUGAGAGUUUGUAACACCCAAAGUCGGUGGGGUAA